GUAGGUGGCAAGCGUUGUCCGGAAUUAUUGGGCGUAAGGCGCGCGCAGGUGGGUUCUUUAAGUCUGAUGUGAAAGACCCCCGGGCUCAACCCGGGGAGGGUCAUUGGAAACUGGGGAACUUGAGUGCAGGAGAGGAAAGUGGAAUUCCACGUGUAGCGGUGAAAUGCGUAGAUAUGUGGAGGAACACCAGUGGCGAAGGCGACUUUCUGGCCUGUAACUGACACUGAGGCGCGAAAGCGUGGGGAGCAAACAGGAUUAGAUACCCUGGUAGUCCACGCCGUAAACGAUGAGUGCUAAGUGUUGGGGGGUUUCCGCCCCUCAGUGCUGCAGCUAACGCAUUAAGCACUCCGCCUGGGGAGUACGGUCGCAAGACUG
RNAcentral lists this ribosomal RNA (375 nucleotides) under uncultured organism. RNAcentral's name for it is "partial 16S ribosomal RNA". It matches the Rfam family "Bacterial small subunit ribosomal RNA", at positions 527 to 896 of the family's 1533-position model. The record is from RNAcentral.